This is a small nucleolar RNA of Meriones unguiculatus (Mongolian gerbil), 133 nucleotides long. The record is from Ensembl. NCBI's taxonomy places the organism in Eukaryota, Metazoa, Chordata, Mammalia, Rodentia, Muridae.
CCUGUGUCUGGAAGUAUUUCACGCGUGGCUGCCAUGUCACUGGCUGGUCAGUUAGGUGGUAGCUAGGAGAGAAGCUAUGUCUAUGUUCAGGGUUCUGACCUGUGAACAUCUGAAUGAUUAGUAGCCUAACAUU